This 251-nucleotide ribosomal RNA is filed under the name uncultured prokaryote. RNAcentral describes it as "partial 16S rRNA". It matches the Rfam family "Bacterial small subunit ribosomal RNA", at positions 525 to 775 of the family's 1533-position model. The record is from RNAcentral.
ACGAAGGGGGCUAGCGUUGUUCGGAAUUACUGGGCGUAAAGGGCGCGUAGGCGGCCGUUUAAGUUAGGUGUGAAAGUCCUGGGCUCAACCUGGGGACUGCACUUAAUACUGGAUGGCUUGAAUUCGGGAGAGGAUAGCGGAAUUCCCAGUGUAGAGGUGAAAUUCGUAGAUAUUGGGAAGAACACCGGUGGCGAAGGCGGCUAUCUGGACCGACAUUGACGCUGAGGCGCGAAAGCGUGGGGAGCAAACAG